GGGGUGAUGGCGCAAUGGUAACGCGUCUGAUUCCAGUAAUGGAGGUUCCAGAAGAUUGGGAGUUCGAUUCUCUCUCGCCUCA
Molecule: transfer RNA, 82 nt
Filed under: Penicillium brasilianum
Lineage: Eukaryota; Fungi; Ascomycota; Eurotiomycetes; Eurotiales; Aspergillaceae
Rfam family: tRNA
About the family: Transfer RNA (tRNA) molecules are approximately 80 nucleotides in length. Their secondary structure includes four short double-helical elements and three loops (D, anti-codon, and T loops).
Source: Rfam by way of RNAcentral